CCUACGGGAGGCAGCAGUCGAGAAUCAUUCACAAUGGGGGAAACCCUGAUGGUGCGACGCCGCGUGGGGGAAUGAAGGUCUUCGGAUUGUAAACCCCUGUCAUGUGGGAGCAAAUUAUAAAGAUAGUACCACAAUAGGAAGAGACGGCUAACUCUGUGCCAGCAGCCGCGGUAAUUCAGAGGACACAAGCGUUGUUCGGAAGGACUGGGCGUAAGGGGUGCGUAGGUUGUUUAGUAAGUCAGGUGUGAAAGGCGCGGGCUCAACCGGCGGACGGCACAUGAUACUGCGAGACUAGAGUAAUGGAGGGGGAACCGGAAUUCUCGGUGUAGCAGUGAAAUGCGUAGAUAUCAAGAGGAACACUCGUGGCGAAGGCGGGUUCCUAGACAUUAACUGACGCUGAGGCACGAAGGCCAGGGGAGCGAAAGGGAUUAGAUACCCGAGUAGUC
This 446-nucleotide ribosomal RNA is filed under the name uncultured bacterium. RNAcentral's name for it is "partial 16S ribosomal RNA". It matches the Rfam family "Bacterial small subunit ribosomal RNA", at positions 338 to 795 of the family's 1533-position model. The record is from RNAcentral.